GGUGAACGCUAGCUACAGGCUUAACACAUGCAAGUCGAGGGGAAACGAUAGAGAAGGCUUGCUUUUUCUAGGCGUCGACCGGCGCACGGGUGAGUAACGCGUAUCCAACCUGCCCACCACUUGGGAAUAACCUUGCGAAAGUAAGACUAAUACCCAAUGAUAUCUCUAGAAGACAUCUGAAGGAGAUUAAAGAUUUAUCGGUGAUGGAUGGGGAUGCGUCUGAUUAGCUUGUUGGCGGGGUAACGGCCCACCAAGGCGACGAUCAGUAGGGGUUCUGAGAGGAAGGUCCCCCACAUUGGAACUGAGACACGGUCCAAACUCCUACGGGAGGCAGCAGUGAGGAAUAUUGGUCAAUGGGCGAGAGCCUGAACCAGCCAAGUAGCGUGCAGGAUGACGGCCCUAUGGGUUGUAAACUGCUUUUAUAAGGGAAUAAAGUGAGCCUCGUGAGGCUUUUUGCAUGUACCUUAUGAAUAAGGACCGGCUAAUUCCGUGCCAGCAGCCGCGGUAA
RNAcentral lists this ribosomal RNA (508 nucleotides) under uncultured bacterium. Its description in RNAcentral is "partial 16S ribosomal RNA". It matches the Rfam family "Bacterial small subunit ribosomal RNA", at positions 28 to 523 of the family's 1533-position model. The record is from RNAcentral.